This 1421-nucleotide ribosomal RNA is filed under the name uncultured organism. RNAcentral's name for it is "SSU rRNA". It matches the Rfam family "Bacterial small subunit ribosomal RNA". The record is from RNAcentral.
GCUGGCGGCGUGCUUAACACAUGCAAGUCGAGCGAUGAAGUUUCCUUCGGGAAACGGAUUAGCGGCGGACGGGUGAGCAACACGUGGGUAACCUGCCUCAUAGAGUGGAAUAGCCUUCCGAAAGGAAGAUUAAUACCGCAUAACGUUGAAAGAUGGCAUCAUCAUUCAACCAAAGGAGCAAUCCGCUAUGAGAUGGACCCGCGGCGCAUUAGCUAGUUGGUGGGGUAACGGCCUACCAAGGCGACGAUGCGUAGCCGACCUGAGAGGGUGAUCGGCCACAUUGGGACUGAGACACGGCCCGGACUCCUACGGGAGGCAGCAGUGGGGAAUAUUGCACAAUGGGGGAAACCCUGAUGCAGCAACGCCGCGUGAGUGAUGAAGGUUUUCGGAUCGUAAAGCUCUGUCUUUGGGGAAGAUAAUGACGGUACCCAAGGAGGAAGCCACGGCUAACUACGUGCCAGCAGCCGCGGUAAUACGUAGGUGGCGAGCGUUAUCCGGAUUUACUGGGCGUAAAGGGAGCGUAGGCGGAUGAUUAAGUGGGAUGUGAAAUACCCGGGCUCAACUUGGGUGCUGCAUUCCAAACUGGUUAUCUAGAGUGCAGGAGAGGAGAGUGGAAUUCCUAGUGUAGCGGUGAAAUGCGUAGAGAUUAGGAAGAACACCAGUGGCGAAGGCGACUCUCUGGACUGUAACUGACGCUGAGGCUCGAAAGCGUGGGGAGCAAACAGGAUUAGAUGCCCUGGUAGUCCACGCCGUAAACGAUGAAUACUAGGUGUGGGGGUUUCAACACCUCCGUGCCGCCGCUAACGCAUUAAGUAUUCCGCCUGGGGAGUACGGUCGCAAGAUUAAAACUCAAAGGAAUUGACGGGGACCCGCACAAGUAGCGGAGCAUGUGGUUUAAUUUGAAGCAACGCGAAGAACCUUACCUACACUUGACAUCCCUUGCAUUACUCUUAAUCGAGGAAAUCCCUUCGGGGACAAGGUGACAGGUGGUGCAUGGUUGUCGUCAGCUUGUGUCGUGAGAUGUUGGGUUAAGUCCCGCAACGAGCGCAACCCUUGUCGUUAGUUACUAUCAUUAAGUUGAGGACUCUAGCGAGACUGCCUGGGUUAACCAGGAGGAAGGUGGGGAUGACGUCAAAUCAUCAUGCCCCUUAUGUGUAGGGCUACACACGUGCUACAAUGGCUGGUACAGAGAGAUGCAAUACCGCGAGGUGGAGCCAAACUUUAAAACCAGUCUCAGUUCGGAUUGUGGGCUGAAACUCGCCUACAUGAAGCUGGAGUUACUAGUAAUCGCGAAUCAGAAUGUCGCGGUGAAUACGUUCCCGGGUCUUGUACACACCGCCCGUCACACCAUGAGAGUUGGCAAUACCCGAAGUCCGUGAGCUAACCGCAAGGAGGCAGCGGCCGAAGGUAGGGUCAGCGAU